RNAcentral lists this non-coding RNA (28 nucleotides) under Homo sapiens (human). Lineage: Eukaryota; Metazoa; Chordata; Mammalia; Primates; Hominidae. The record is from RNAcentral.
UGGGAAGUGACUGUGCUGGGCAUGGGUC